GCUGCGGUUAUACUUUUAAGUUAAGUUUUAUAAACGAAAAUAAUUAAAUAAAAUUUUAAUUAUUUUGUUACAAAAUAUUUUUAUAAAUUAUUAAAAUAACAAAGAUAGAUUACAGAUUCGGUAGAACCCGGCUAUGAAUUUUAUUUUAGGUAAUAAAUUAAACCUAAAUUGUGUGGCAGUUAUUUAUUCUCUUUAGAGAAUUUUGAUUAAUAAAUUGACACCCCACAAUUUUAUUUACUAAUUUAGUUUGUGUGUGGUUGUUUAAAAAUAAAUUUAUAUUUAAAUUUUUGUCCAAAUAACAUAUAGUCUAAUUUAGGAAAUUGAGAUGCUUAUAAAUAUUAAUAAUUUAAGGAUUUAAUAGUAGGAAAAAUAAAUCGAAUUAGUUAUAAACAAGGUUCAUAUUGUCCGUCACUCUUUUAGAGAUAAGUCUUA
RNAcentral lists this ribosomal RNA (432 nucleotides) under Diacyclops bicuspidatus. RNAcentral's name for it is "partial 12S ribosomal RNA". The record is from RNAcentral. Lineage: Eukaryota; Metazoa; Arthropoda; Copepoda; Cyclopoida; Cyclopidae.